GGGGAUGUAGCUCAGUGGUAAAGUGCUUGCCUAGCAUGCAUGAGGCCUGGGUUGGAUCCUCAGCACCACCA
Molecule: transfer RNA, 71 nt
Filed under: Marmota monax (woodchuck)
Lineage: Eukaryota; Metazoa; Chordata; Mammalia; Rodentia; Sciuridae
Rfam family: tRNA
About the family: Transfer RNA (tRNA) molecules are approximately 80 nucleotides in length. Their secondary structure includes four short double-helical elements and three loops (D, anti-codon, and T loops). Further hydrogen bonds mediate the characteristic L-shaped molecular structure. tRNAs have two regions of fundamental functional importance: the anti-codon, which is responsible for specific mRNA codon recognition, and the 3' end, to which the tRNAs corresponding amino acid is attached (by aminoacyl-tRNA synthetases). tRNAs cope with the degeneracy of the genetic code in two manners: having more than one tRNA (with a specific anti-codon) for a particular amino acid; and 'wobble' base-pairing, i.e. permitting non-standard base-pairing at the 3rd anti-codon position.
Source: Rfam by way of RNAcentral